CCUGGCUCAGACGCAACGCUGGCGGCAGGCUUAACACAUGCAAGUCGAACGCACCUUCGGGUGAGUGGCAGACGGGUGAGUAACGCGUGGGAACGUGCCCAUCGGUUCGGAAUAACCCAGGGAAACUUGGGCUAAUACCGGAUACGUCCCUUCGGGGAGAAAGAUUCAUCGCCGAUGGAUCGGCCCGCGUCCGAUUAGCUUGUUGGUGAGGUAACGGCUCACCAAGGCGACGAUCGGUAGCUGGUCUGAGAGGAUGAUCAGCCACACUGGGACUGAGACACGGCCCAGACUCCUACGGGAGGCAGCAGUGGGGAAUAUUGGACAAUGGGCGCAAGCCUGAUCCAGCCAUGCCGCGUGAGUGAUGAAGGCCUUAGGGUUGUAAAGCUCUUUCGCACGCGACGAUAAUGACGGUAGCGUGAGAAGAAGCCCCGGCUAACUUCGUGCCAGCAGCCGCGGUAAUACGAAGGGGGCUAGCGUUGCUCGGAAUCACUGGGCGUAAAGGGCGCGUAGGCGGAUCUUUAAGUCGGGGGUGAAAGCCCAGGGCUCAACCCUGGAAUUGCCACCGAUACUGGGGAUCUA
Molecule: ribosomal RNA, 579 nt
Filed under: alpha proteobacterium ML10
Lineage: Bacteria; Pseudomonadati; Pseudomonadota; Alphaproteobacteria; Sphingomonadales; Sphingomonadaceae
Description: bacterial SSU rRNA
Rfam family: Bacterial small subunit ribosomal RNA
Source: RNAcentral